Molecule: ribosomal RNA, 466 nt
Filed under: uncultured Pseudomonadota bacterium
Lineage: Bacteria; Pseudomonadati; Pseudomonadota
Description: bacterial SSU rRNA
Rfam family: Bacterial small subunit ribosomal RNA
Source: RNAcentral
AGAGUUUGAUCAUGGCUCAGAGCGAACGCUGGCGGCAGGCCUAACACAUGCAAGUCGAACGGCUCUUCGGAGCAGUGGCGGACGGGUGAGUAACGCGUGGGAAUGUGCCCUUUGGUACGGAACAACUGAGGGAAACUUCAGCUAAUACCGUAUGUGCCCUUCGGGGGAAAGAUUUAUCGCCAUAGGAGCAGCCCGCGUUGGAUUAGCUAGUUGGUGGGGUAAAGGCCCACCAAGGCUACGAUCCAUAGCUGGUCUGAGAGAAUGAUCAGCCACACUGGGACUGAGACACGGCCCAGACUCCUACGGGAGGCAGCAGUGGGGAAUCUUGCGCAAUGGGCGAAAGCCUGACGCAGCCAUGCCGCGUGUAUGAUGAAGGUCUUAGGAUUGUAAAAUACUUUCACCGGGGAAGAUAAUGACGGUACCCGGAGAAGAAGCCCCGGCUAACUUCGUGCCAGCAGCCGCGGUA